RNAcentral lists this ribosomal RNA (253 nucleotides) under uncultured bacterium. Its description in RNAcentral is "partial 16S ribosomal RNA". It matches the Rfam family "Bacterial small subunit ribosomal RNA", at positions 524 to 776 of the family's 1533-position model. The record is from RNAcentral.
UACGGAGGUGGCAAGCGUUGCUCGGAAUCACUGGGCGUAAAGGGCGCGUAGGCGGGGAGGUAAGUCGGGUGUGAAAUCCCUCGGCCCAACCGAGGAACUGCGCCCGAGACUGCUUCUCUUGAGUCCCGGAGAGGAAGAUGGAAUUCCCGGUGUAGCGGUGAAAUGUGUAGAGAUCGGGAGGAACACCGGUGGCGAAGGCAGGUCUCUGGGCUGACACUGACGCUCAUGCACGAAAGCGUGGGGAGCAAACAGG